RNAcentral lists this long non-coding RNA (320 nucleotides) under Citrus maxima (pomelo). RNAcentral describes it as "long non-coding RNA (CMAX_LNC003946)". The record is from RNAcentral. Lineage: Eukaryota; Viridiplantae; Streptophyta; Magnoliopsida; Sapindales; Rutaceae.
CGCACAAGCAAAAACAGCGAGCUACAGAUGAGAAGGACUAUGAGGAUGGUUCUGAAGAGGAAAUGAAUGAUGGGGUUUCAGCGGCUGGAUUCGGGAGUGAAAUUGAUCAGGCUGAGAGUGAGAUUGAUGAUGAUCAGGCAGAAACUGAGAUUGAAGAUGAUCGGGCUACAAAUGAGAUUGAAGAUGAUCGGGCUACAAAUGAGAUUGAGACUAGCCAGGAUCAAGCCUCUGAAAAUCUAAAACCCUUUACACCAAAGUCAAGCAAGAAAAAGUCCAAGUCAAAAACCAAACGGAAGAAGGCCAGAGCAAAAUUAGUUAAG